GGGGGGGGGUGCUAAUAAUGCAGUCGAGCGCAGGAAGCAAGCGGAUCCCCUUCGGGGGUGACGCUUGUGGAAUGAGCGGCGGACGGGUGAGUAACACGUGGGCAACCUGCCUGUAAGACUGGGAUAACUCCGGGAAACCGGGGCUAAUACCGGGUAAUACCUGACUCCGCAUGGAGUCGGGUUGAAAGAUGGCUUCUCGCUAUCACUUACAGAUGGGCCCGCGGCGCAUUAGCUAGUUGGUGAGGUAACGGCUCACCAAGGCAACGAUGCGUAGCCGACCUGAGAGGGUGAUCGGCCACACUGGGACUGAGACACGGCCCAGACUCCUACGGGAGGCAGCAGUAGGGAAUCUUCCGCAAUGGACGAAAGUCUGACGGAGCAACGCCGCGUGAACGAUGAAGGUCUUCGGAUCGUAAAGUUCUGUUGUCAGGGAAGAACAAGUACCGUGCGAAUAGAGCGGUACCUUGACGGUACCUGACCAGAAAGCCACGGCUAACUACGUGCCAGCAGCCGCGGUAAUACGUAGGUGGCAAGCGUUGUCCGGAAUUAUUGGGCGUAAAGCGCGCGCAGGCGGUUUCUUAAGUCUGAUGUGAAAGCCCCCGGCUCAACCGGGGAGGGUCAUUGGAAACUGGGGAACUUGAGUACAGAAGAGGAGAGUGGAAUUCCACGUGUAGCGGUGAAAUGCGUAGAUAUGUGGAGGAACACCAGUGGCGAAGGCGACUCUCUGGUCUGUAACUGACGCUGAGGCGCGAAAGCGUGGGGAGCGAACAGGAUUAGAUACCCUGGUAGUCCACGCCGUA
This 800-nucleotide ribosomal RNA is filed under the name Thalassobacillus sp. JSM 101005. Its description in RNAcentral is "bacterial SSU rRNA". It matches the Rfam family "Bacterial small subunit ribosomal RNA", at positions 38 to 804 of the family's 1533-position model. Lineage: Bacteria; Bacillati; Bacillota; Bacilli; Caryophanales; Bacillaceae. The record is from RNAcentral.